AUUGAACGCUGGCGGCAGGCCUAACACAUGCAAGUCGAGCGGCAGCGACUUAACUGAACCUUCGGGGAACGUUAAGGGCGGCGAGCGGCGGACGGGUGAGUAAUGCCUGGGAAUAUGCCUGAUGUGGGGGAUAACUAUUGGAAACGAUAGCUAAUACCGCAUAAUCUCUUCGGAGCAAAGAGGGGGACCUUCGGGCCUCUCGCGUCAGGAUUAGCCCAGGUGGGAUUAGCUUGUUGGUGAGGUAAUGGCUCACCAAGGCAACGAUCCCUAGCUGGUCUGAGAGGAUGAUCAGCCACACUGGAACUGAGACACGGUCCAGACUCCUACGGGAGGCAGCAGUGGGGAAUAUUGCACAAUGGGGGAAACCCUGAUGCAGCCAUGCCGCGUGUGUGAAGAAGGCCUUCGGGUUGUAAAGCACUUUCAGUAGGGAGGAGGGUAGUGUAGUUAACACCUGCAUUAUUUGACGUUACCUACAGAAGAAGCACCGGCUAACUCCGUGCCAGCAGCCGCGGUAAUACGGAGGGUGCGAGCGUUAAUCGGAAUUACUGGGCGUAAAGCGCAUGCAGGCGGCCUGUUAAGUCAGAUGUGAAAGCCCGGGGCUUAACCUCGGAAUUGCAUUUGAAACUGGCAGGCUAGAGUCUUGUAGAGGGGGGUAGAAUUUCAGGUGUAGCGGUGAAAUGCGUAGAGAUCUGAAGGAAUACCAGUGGCGAAGGCGGCCCCCUGGACAAAGACUGACGCUCAGAUGCGAAAGCGUGGGGAGCAAACAGG
RNAcentral lists this ribosomal RNA (768 nucleotides) under uncultured bacterium. RNAcentral's name for it is "bacterial SSU rRNA". It matches the Rfam family "Bacterial small subunit ribosomal RNA", at positions 28 to 776 of the family's 1533-position model. The record is from RNAcentral.